UGCAAGUCGAACGGUAGAGGGGGCAACCCCUCGAGAGUGGCGAACGGGUGAGUAAUAUAUCGGAACGUGCCCAGUCGUGGGGGAUAACGUAGCGAAAGUUACGCUAAUACCGCAUACGAUCUAAGGAUGAAAGCGGGGGACUCGCAAGAGCCUCGCGCGAUUGGAGCGGCCGAUAUCAGAUUAGGUAGUUGGUGAGGUAAAGGCUCACCAAGCCAACGAUCUGUAGCUGGUCUGAGAGGACGACCAGCCACACUGGAACUGAGACACGGUCCAGACUCCUACGGGAGGCAGCAGUGGGGAAUUUUGGACAAUGGACGCAAGUCUGAUCCAGCCAUUCCGCGUGCAGGAUGAAGGCCCUCGGGUUGUAAACUGCUUUUGUACGGAACGAAAAGGUUUCUAUUAAUACUAGGAGCUCAUGACGGUACCGUAAGAAUAAGCACCGGCUAACUACGUGCCAGCAGCCGCGGUAAUACGUAGGGUGCAAGCGUUAAUCGGAAUUACUGGGCGUAAAGCGUGCGCAGGCGGUUAUAUAAGACAGAUGUGAAAUCCCCGGGCUCAACCUGGGAACUGCAUUUGUGACUGUAUAGCUAGAGUACGGUAGAGGGGGAUGGAAUUCCGCGUGUAGCAGUGAAAUGCGUAGAUAUGCGGAGGAACACCGAUGGCGAAGGCAAUCCCCUGGACCUGUACUGACGCUCAUGCACGAAAGCGUGGGGAGCAAACAGGAUUAGAUACCCUGGUAGUCCACGCCCUAAACGAUGUCAACUGGUUGUUGGGUCUUCACUGACUCAGUAACGAAGCUAACGCGUGAAGUUGACCGCCUGGGGAGUACGGCCGCAAGGUUGACACUCAAAGGAAUUGACGGGGACCCGCACAAGCGGUGGAUGAUGUGGUUUAAUUCGAUGCAACGCGAAAAACCUUACCCACCUUUGACAUGUACGGAAGUCGCU
RNAcentral lists this ribosomal RNA (947 nucleotides) under uncultured Comamonadaceae bacterium. RNAcentral's name for it is "bacterial SSU rRNA". It matches the Rfam family "Bacterial small subunit ribosomal RNA", at positions 56 to 1001 of the family's 1533-position model. The record is from RNAcentral. Lineage: Bacteria; Pseudomonadati; Pseudomonadota; Betaproteobacteria; Burkholderiales; Comamonadaceae.